RNAcentral lists this ribosomal RNA (254 nucleotides) under uncultured bacterium. RNAcentral's name for it is "partial 16S ribosomal RNA". It matches the Rfam family "Bacterial small subunit ribosomal RNA", at positions 524 to 776 of the family's 1533-position model. The record is from RNAcentral.
UACGUAGGGUGCGGAGCGUUGUCCGGAAUUAUUGGGCGUAAAGGGCUCGUAGGCGGUUUGUCGCGUCGGGAGUGAAAUCCACUGGCUUAACUGGUGGCUUGCUUUCGAUACGGGCAGACUGGAGGUAUGCAGGGGAGAACGGAAUUCCUGGUGUAGCGGUGAAAUGCGCAGAUAUCAGGAGGAACACCGGUGGCGAAGGCGGUUCUCUGGGCAUGUCCUGACGCUGAGGAGCGAAAGCAUGGGGAGCGAACAGG